This 409-nucleotide ribosomal RNA is filed under the name uncultured bacterium. Its description in RNAcentral is "bacterial SSU rRNA". It matches the Rfam family "Bacterial small subunit ribosomal RNA", at positions 364 to 766 of the family's 1533-position model. The record is from RNAcentral.
UUGCGCAAUGGGCGAAAGCCCGACGCAGCAACGCCGCGUGAGCGAAGAAGGCCUUCGGGUUGUAAAGCUCUGUCAGGGGGAAAGAAGGCACCUGGGUUAAUAGCCCAAGGGCUGACGGUACCUCCAAAGGAAGACACGGCUAACUACGUGCCAGCAGCCGCGGUAAUACGUAGGUGGCGAGCGUUGCCCGGAAUCAUUGGGCGUAAAGAGCGCGUAGGUGGCUUGUCAGGUCCGAUGUGAAAACCUGGGGCUCAACUCCAGGCCUGCAUCGGAAAGCGGCUUGCUUGAGUCUGGGAGAGGUGAGCGGAAUUCCUGGUGUGGGGGUGAAAUGCGUAGAUAUCAGGAGGAGCACCAGUGGCGAAGGCGGCUCUCUGGAACAGUACUGACGAUGAGGGGCGAAAGCGAGGGG